UAUGCAGAGUUUUCUUACAACAACAGUUAUCAAACCAGUUUGAAGAUAGCCCCUUUCGAAGCUUUGUACGGAAGGAGGUGUAGAACACCGUUGUUAUGGGACGAAGUUGGAGACCGUCAAUUGUUUGGACCAGAUUUGAUUAAGGAGUCUGAACAGAAAGUGAGGUUGAUUCGCGAUAGGCUCAAGGUAGCCCAGUCCAGACAGAAGAGUUAUGCUGAUUCCAAACGAAAGGAGACAGUUCACGAAGUCGGAGACAGAGUUUAUCUUCGAGUAUCACCACUUCGAGGAGUGAAGCGCUUUGGAGUUAAGGGAAAGCUAGCGCCCCGUUUUAUCGGACCAUACAGAGUUUUGGAACGUAUGGGAGAAGUUGCCUACAAGCUGGAAUUGCCUGAAGGAUUGUCAGGAGUUCAU
Molecule: ribosomal RNA, 411 nt
Filed under: Triticum aestivum (bread wheat)
Lineage: Eukaryota; Viridiplantae; Streptophyta; Magnoliopsida; Poales; Poaceae
Description: partial small subunit ribosomal RNA
Source: RNAcentral